Molecule: long non-coding RNA, 1544 nt
Filed under: Homo sapiens (human)
Lineage: Eukaryota; Metazoa; Chordata; Mammalia; Primates; Hominidae
Description: HSALNT0366619
Source: RNAcentral
GAGGCAUCGCAAGGGGGGGAGGCAUCGCAAGGGGGGGAGGCAUCGCAAGGGGGGGAGGCACCCCAUGCGAGGCGGGGACUGAGAACCAGCCCCUCUACCCCCCGUGGCUCUUAGGAGCCCGAUCGCGGGUGAGGGAAGCACCCCCCGCGAGGCGGGGACUGAGAGCAAGCCCCUUUUCCCCCCCUGGCUCUUAGAACAACCAACGCAGAGGGGGGAGGCACCCGCUGUGAGGCAUGAACUGAGAGCCAGACCCACUUCCCCCCAGCUCUUGGGAUCCCCAUCACAGGGGGGAGGCACCCCACAUGAGGCGGGGACUGAGAGACAGCCCCUCUGCCCCUCCUGGCUAUUAGGACCCCCGUCGCACAGGGGGGAGGGACCCCCCAUCGCACGGGGGAGAGGGACCCCCCGCGAGGCAGGGACGGAGAGCCUGCCGCUCUUCCCCCCGUGGCUCAUAGGACCCCCAUCGCAGGCGCUUGGCACCCCACGCGAGGCGGGUACUGAGAGCCAGCUCCUCUUCACCCCGGGUCUCUUAGGACUGCCAUCGCAGGGGGGUAGAGGUACCCCAUGCAAGGCGGGGACUGAGAGUCAGCCCCUCUUCACCUCUCGCUCUUAGGCCCCCAUCGCGGGGGGGGAGGCACCCCAUGCGAGGCGGGGAUUGAGAGCCAGCCCCACUUCCCCCCUGACUCUUGGGACCACCAUCGCAGUGGGGGCAGGACCCCCACCGCGGAUUCUAAGAUCCUUAGCACCCACCUGGAGGACUGUGGGUUUUAGGUGUCCAAGAAGAAAGCUCAGAUCUGCCGACGGCAGGUACCUUACUUGGGAUUUUCUAUACGACAGGGGUCCGAACGCAGCCCGGGAUCAGAAAGAAAGCAGGUCGUUUGCAAUCUACCGGAGCCUAAGGGCAGAAGGCAGGACCGUGGGAACAAUAUGCCAGGGGGAUUUCCACUUUCUGCCAUAUAUGUAGUCACAUCACCCACUCUGCUUUGGAAUAUUAUUAAGGACCAUCUAACACGAGGGUGUAUACGUCCUGCAAUACUACGAGUAAUAUCAACUUCUUGGCCUCUGAAUAUGAGGAAGAAUAUCACAGGGAUAUUAAUAACAAUUUCACAGGCUGGGUGAACACAGCCGGCAAUGCUGAAAUUAUUAUCAUCCUCUCCCCAUCUUCCCCUCCUGGCUCUUAGGACCCCCAUCGCAGGGGGCUGAGGCACCCCCCGCGAGGCGGGGACUGAGUGCCAGCCCCUCUUCCCUAGCCCCUUCGUCAGGGCUGAGAGAAUUUUGAGCGCUAGCCGUCUCUCGAUCGCUGGCUAAUAAAGAACUCCUGAAUUAGUCUCAAAGUGUGGCGUUCCUCUAUUACCCGCUUGGUUACAACAGCUUUAUAUUAAUAAUUGUAGUAAUAAAGUUGAUCGCACAUAGGAUGGAGGAGGCACCUGCCUGGUGAGAUGAGACAAUGGUCGGAUUCACUGAGGCUCCUGCGUGUCCCGGAUUUCCCGCUGGGGGAGGGUGUUCUGCUCAGCGGUUCCCACACCUGCUUCCAUGGGAGAAGC